Molecule: ribosomal RNA, 433 nt
Filed under: uncultured bacterium
Lineage: Bacteria
Description: partial 16S ribosomal RNA
Rfam family: Bacterial small subunit ribosomal RNA
Source: RNAcentral
AACGUGCGCUGGCGGCAUGCCUAACACAUGCAAGUCGAACGAGACCUUCGGGUCUAGUGGCGCACGGGUGCGUAACGCGUGGGAACCUGCCCUUAGGUUCGGAAUAACUCCCCGAAAGGGGUGCUAAUACCGGAUAAUGUCUUCGGACCAAAGAUUUAUCGCCUUUGGAUGGGCCCGCGUUGGAUUAGCUAGUUGGUAGGGUAAAAGCCUACCAAGGCGACGAUCCAUAGCUGGUCUGAGAGGAUGAUCAGCCACACUGGGACUGAGACACGGCCCAGACUCCUACGGGAGGCAGCAGUGGGGAAUAUUGGACAAUGGGCGAAAGCCUGAUCCAGCAAUGCCGCGUGAGUGAUGAAGGCCUUAGGGUUGUAAAGCUCUUUUACCCGGGAUGAUAAUGACAGUACCGGGAGAAUAAGCUCCGGCUAACUCCGUG